Molecule: ribosomal RNA, 429 nt
Filed under: Actinomycetes bacterium
Lineage: Bacteria; Bacillati; Actinomycetota; Actinomycetes
Description: Actinobacteria bacterium partial 16S ribosomal RNA
Rfam family: Bacterial small subunit ribosomal RNA
Source: RNAcentral
UAGGGAAUCUUCCGCAAUGGGCGAAAGCCUGACGGAGCAACGCCGCGUGAGUGAAGAAGGUCUUCGGAUCGUAAAACUCUAUUAUUAGGGAAGAACAAAUGUGUAAGUAACUAUGCACGUCUUGACGGUACCUAAUCAGAAAGCCACGGCUAACUACGUGCCAGCAGCCGCGGUAAUACGUAGGUGGCAAGCGUUAUCCGGAAUUAUUGGGCGUAAAGCGCGCGUAGGCGGUUUUUUAAGUCUGAUGUGAAAGCCCACGGCUCAACCGUGGAGGGUCAUUGGAAACUGGAAAACUUGAGUGCAGAAGAGGAAAGUGGAAUUCCAUGUGUAGCGGUGAAAUGCGCAGAGAUAUGGAGGAACACCAGUGGCGAAGGCGACUUUCUGGUCUGUAACUGACGCUGAUGUGCGAAAGCGUGGGGAUCAAACAGG